Molecule: non-coding RNA, 69 nt
Organism: Rattus norvegicus (Norway rat)
Lineage: Eukaryota; Metazoa; Chordata; Mammalia; Rodentia; Muridae
Source: Rfam
GGGGAUUUAGCUCAGUGGUAGAGCGCUUGCCUAGCAAGCGCAAGGCCCUGGGUUCGAUCCUCAGCUCCA